Triticum dicoccoides is the source of this 193-nucleotide long non-coding RNA. RefSeq lists it as uncharacterized. The transcript is spliced from 2 exons. The record is from RefSeq and is a predicted model, not a curated record. NCBI's taxonomy places the organism in Eukaryota, Viridiplantae, Streptophyta, Magnoliopsida, Poales, Poaceae.
CAGAAAAACAACUUUCAAAGAAGGAAUUGAAGAAGAAAGAGCUUGCAGAACUAGAUGCUGUUCUGGCCGAGUUGGGGAUUUCUGAAAAUGCUACACUGGCUGACGUCACGAGUAAAUCUGAAAGAAAGCCUGAUGGACAGAAAGGAGAUGGGGAUAAGAAGGGUCUUCCUGUACCAUCAGAAAGCAAGACUUC